This 166-nucleotide ribosomal RNA is filed under the name Pyrenaria sophiae. Its description in RNAcentral is "5.8S ribosomal RNA". It matches the Rfam family "5.8S ribosomal RNA". From Rfam's summary of the family: 5.8S ribosomal RNA (5.8S rRNA) is a component of the large subunit of the eukaryotic ribosome. Lineage: Eukaryota; Viridiplantae; Streptophyta; Magnoliopsida; Ericales; Theaceae. The record is from RNAcentral.
UAAACGACUCUCGGCAACGGAUAUCUCGGCUCUCGCAUCGAUGAAGAACGUAAGCGAAAUGCGAUACUUGGUGUGAAUUGCAGAAUCCCGUGAACCAUCGAGUCUUUGAACGCAAGUUGCGCCCGAAGCCAUUAGGUUGAGGGCACGUCUGCCUGGGCGUCUCACG